AACUAAUGGCGCAACAUUUCCGUAUUUUUAUAUUUGAAUAUUCUUAUCAAUGAAAAAACCAAGGAAUCGUUAGAAAAACUGGUGAAUCAAGUUGUUUUUUUCUUCAUUUCUGGUUUCUCUCCUGGUGUAAUAAUCCGGUUACGAGGUCAAAUUGGAUUUUUGUUGUGUUGUUUCUGACUUUUUUUCGAUUCUCGUUCGACGUUGCCAAGUCGUCUCGGCCAGUUGGAAUCGACUCCAUCGAAAUCGGUUGGUAUUGUAAUUUUUGAAGUUGCUGCGCAAGUCUCGUUAAAAAGUCCAACGGAAAAAUUCUCUCACACGAAACACUGUCAGUCGAGAAGAUCAGUUGGCAAAUGUGCCAAUUUGCCAGAGUUGUUGCUAAAUCUAGUCAUUCUGAUCAUCCCUGGCAGCGAGAGAAACGAUUGAAAUAUCUUUGAAACGUCAAAUAAUCACCACUCCCUUUUUUGGUUGUGAGUUGUCUGCGGGAGUUUCUUUCUUUUUUUGGGGUACUGCUGCCCGUGUUUGUGUGUGUGUGUGUCUGUGUGUACGUGUGGGCACCUUGCAUCUCUUGUUGACAAGCCCUGUUGGUCUAUACACCUCUCUGCCAGGGGUUUGAGCCUCAGUUGGGUCUUUCAUUUCUCAUUGUGUUUACGUGUCUGGUUCGCGGUUCGCGCCAGCCGAUGAUGUGCAAACUUUUCAGUGAUUAUCAACCGAAAAUCAUUACCUGACUCUCCUGCCUUUGUGUGUCCAUCAUCUUAACUGUCAUUUGAAAUUUGAUCCCAUAACUUUUAUCCUGUAAAAUGAAUACCGUACUUGACAAAGAAGAUAUUCUGGUGCACGCUGCAGAGUUUAUCAAAGAUCAACUCUAUUUCGCUACUCUGAAAGUGUCCAUCAGACCAAAGUCCACGCCAGACACCCACUAUUUCUGUAUAGAUGACCAGCUUGUGUACAAAAAUUUUUAUUCAGACUUUGGCCCACUGAACUUGGCUAUGCUGUAUCGCUACUGUCACAAACUCAAUCGGAAACUCAAGGUAAAGAGGUCAAUCCCUUUGUGCAACAUCCCUGCGACUCAAUCUCAAUUGUAAAUGAUGCCCCUUUAUUGCAACAUGUGUUGUGGCGAAAUAUCUUGGUUGUCAUGAAGAGAAUCUGAAUGAAGGUGGAGGGCAGUGUGGAUUGUGUACAUGAUUCAGCUGUUGUCGCUCCGUAGUAUGCAUAUUCAUCUCUGAUCCCCGAGGGCUCCAUUUAAA
This is a long non-coding RNA of Daphnia pulex (common water flea), 1244 nucleotides long. RefSeq lists it as uncharacterized. The record is from RefSeq and is a predicted model, not a curated record. The transcript has 2 exons. NCBI's taxonomy places the organism in Eukaryota, Metazoa, Arthropoda, Branchiopoda, Diplostraca, Daphniidae.